Long non-coding RNA from Nymphalis io (European peacock), 1329 nucleotides. RefSeq lists it as uncharacterized. The record is from RefSeq and is a predicted model, not a curated record. The transcript is spliced from 2 exons. Lineage: Eukaryota; Metazoa; Arthropoda; Insecta; Lepidoptera; Nymphalidae.
GCGCAGUAGCGUAGUGCAUAUCGGCUGGUGACACAGUUAACCCUCUGCCACCCUAAGCGCGUGUUCCGUCCACAAAACUGUUUGUUUUGACGCAGAAUACAACAAGCAUAUAUUUAAACUUGUUGGUUUGUGAGAAAAAGGAUAACAUAUCAGAAUGACUUCUCCAGCAAUAAGUAAAUCACCAGAAAAACAAAAAAAUGAAAAUAAAUCACCGAUGCAUUCAGAGAGCGCAGAGCAAGCACCAUCUAACGGGAAUUCAGCCACAUCUUCCAGUAGGCAACAACCAGAUCCAUUCAGCUGUUUUAGAAUAUUCAAACUCGCCGGCCUCAUGAUGAAGCAAGGAUGUUAAAUCAUUUUCAAGUAACAAUGUAUUUAAAAUACACUGUUUAUUAAAUAGAAAGUAAGCUGUUAUUAUUAGAAAGUAUUAUUUUAAAUCCAAUGAAAAUUCAUCUAUGAGAAAUAAAGUCUUCAGAGAAGGUAGCAAUUUACAAAGAACAUUUUUAAAAGUUAUAAAUUUUGCUUAAAAUGCUUUAAAAUAUUACGUAUUUUAGUACAAUGUAAGAAAAAAAAUUAAGAAAAUCCAAUAUACAAAGAACAAAUUGUAAUGAAAUUUAGCAUGCCUAUAAAUUAAUUUAAUUUCUCUAUAAAAGCAAUGAUAUUAUAAAGUGUAGAUAUGUUAAACCGUAACAAAACAAUCAAGAAAAAAAAAUCACAAAAAGUGACAGCACGCAUACGCAUUGUUUUAUGUUCAAUUCACUACACUAUGCCACACUUUAUCGUGUGAGCGAGGUAGUGCUUAUUUAAAUUUGUACAAAAAAGAAGAUAGCUAGUGUUCACGUCACUUAUGGGUUAUGUACGAAAAUUUUACGCAGAUCAGCUUUUGGCAAAGAUUAUAAUAAAAGAAAUAUACAGAGGUUACAACUACUUUACUUUAAAACUAGGUAGAUGGUUAUAUAAUUAUUGCAUAACCGUCAAAAAGUAUUCAGUAAUCUUAUAAAAAUUGAAUUGCAAUAUGAUUAUGUUUAUCGAUACUACAUUCAUUUCUACGAUACUGUGAGUUUAACGAGUGAAUCAAGCGAAGUAAUAGUGUUUUUUUUCAGUGGUCGUGUUUGUUGAUCGUUAAGUUUUUCGAAUCUAGACGUUCUGUAGUUAUCGAAUUGAGAUGUUUCCUUAAAUCAUUUCUUAAGCCAUGUCUAGUACGGGGAAUCAACUAUUGACUUUUACAUUUUUCAAUAAUAUUUUAUUUUUAAUGGAUCGCCAUAAAACGGCAAUUUAGUAUCGGGAAAGAUAAUAUAAUACGCAAAAAUAAAUCAUAGAAAUUAAAACAUA